This 253-nucleotide ribosomal RNA is filed under the name uncultured bacterium. RNAcentral describes it as "partial 16S ribosomal RNA". It matches the Rfam family "Bacterial small subunit ribosomal RNA", at positions 524 to 776 of the family's 1533-position model. The record is from RNAcentral.
UACGGAGGGGGCUAGCGUUGUUCGGAAUUACUGGGCGUAAAGCGCACGUAGGCGGCUUUGUAAGUUAGGGGUGAAAGCCUGGGGCUCAACUCCAGAACUGCCUUUAAGACUGCAUCGCUUGAAUCAUGGAGAGGCGGGUGGAAUUCCGAGUGUAGAGGUGAAAUUCGUAGAUAUUCGGAAGAACACCAGUGGCGAAGGCGGCCCGCUGGACAUGUAUUGACGCUGAGGUGCGAAAGCGUGGGGAGCAAACAGG